UACGAAGGGUGCAAACGUUGCUCGGAAUUAUUGGGCGUAAAGCGCACGUAGGCGGCUUGGCAAGUCGGAUGUGAAAUCCCUCGGCUCAACCAAGGAAGUGCAUCCGAAACUGCUGAGCUUGAGUACUUAAGAGGAUCGCGGAAUUCCCGGUGUAGAGGUGAAAUUCGUAGAUAUCGGGAGGAACACCAGUGGCGAAGGCGGCGAUCUGGGAAGAUACUGACGCUGAGGUGCGAAAGCCAGGGGAGCGAACGGG
Molecule: ribosomal RNA, 253 nt
Filed under: uncultured bacterium
Lineage: Bacteria
Description: partial 16S ribosomal RNA
Rfam family: Bacterial small subunit ribosomal RNA
Source: RNAcentral